GGGAAGGUGGCUCAGUGGUAGAGCGCUUGCCUAACACGCAUGAAUUCAGCCCUGGGUUCCAUUCCU
RNAcentral lists this transfer RNA (66 nucleotides) under Dipodomys ordii (Ord's kangaroo rat). It matches the Rfam family "tRNA", at positions 1 to 61 of the family's 71-position model. Rfam says of the family: Transfer RNA (tRNA) molecules are approximately 80 nucleotides in length. Their secondary structure includes four short double-helical elements and three loops (D, anti-codon, and T loops). Further hydrogen bonds mediate the characteristic L-shaped molecular structure. tRNAs have two regions of fundamental functional importance: the anti-codon, which is responsible for specific mRNA codon recognition, and the 3' end, to which the tRNAs corresponding amino acid is attached (by aminoacyl-tRNA synthetases). tRNAs cope with the degeneracy of the genetic code in two manners: having more than one tRNA (with a specific anti-codon) for a particular amino acid; and 'wobble' base-pairing, i.e. permitting non-standard base-pairing at the 3rd anti-codon position. The record is from Rfam by way of RNAcentral. Lineage: Eukaryota; Metazoa; Chordata; Mammalia; Rodentia; Heteromyidae.